GAUGAAGAACUCAGCGAAAUGCGAUACUUGGUGUGAAUUGCAGAAUCCCGUGAGCCAUCGAGUCUUUGAACGCAAGUUGCGCCCGAAGCCAUCAGGUUGAGGGCACGUCUGCCUGGGCGUCACAUAUCGUUGCCCAAUGCCUAUUGCAGUGCGAUAGGAAUUUCUAGGGCGAAUGAUGGCUUCCCGUGAGCGUUGUUGCCUCGCGGUUGGUUGAAAAUCGAGUCCUUGGUAGGGUGUGCCAUGGUAGAUGGUGGUCGAGUUAGAACGAUACCGAUCAUGUGCAUGCUCCCCAAAAUAUGGCCUCUAUGACCCACACGCGUCUUUUGACGCUCAUGACGAGACCUCAGGUCAGGCGGGGCUACCCGCUGAAUUUAAGCAUAUCAAUAAGCGGAGGA
This 395-nucleotide unclassified non-coding RNA is filed under the name soil metagenome. Its description in RNAcentral is "partial contains 5.8S ribosomal RNA, internal transcribed spacer 2, and large subunit ribosomal RNA". The stretch from base 1 to 122 matches the Rfam family "5.8S ribosomal RNA", at positions 35 to 154 of the family's 154-position model. The record is from RNAcentral.